This 520-nucleotide ribosomal RNA is filed under the name uncultured bacterium. RNAcentral's name for it is "bacterial SSU rRNA". It matches the Rfam family "Bacterial small subunit ribosomal RNA", at positions 976 to 1498 of the family's 1533-position model. The record is from RNAcentral.
UGGUCUUGACAUACAGAGAACUUUCUAGAGAUAGAUUGGUGCCUUCGGGAACUCUGAUACAGGUGCUGCAUGGCUGUCGUCAGCUCGUGUCGUGAGAUGUUGGGUUAAGUCCCGUAACGAGCGCAACCCUUAUCCUUAUUUGCCAGCACUUCGGGUGGGAACUAUAAGGAGACUGCCGGUGAUAAACCGGAGGAAGGCGGGGACGACGUCAAGUCAUCAUGGCCCUUACGACCAGGGCUACACACGUGCUACAAUGGGAAGGACAAAGGGUCGCUAAGCCGCGAGGUGGUGCUAAUCUCAUAAACCUUUUCGUAGUCCGGAUCGGAGUCUGCAACUCGACUCCGUGAAGUCGGAAUCGCUAGUAAUCGUGGAUCAGAACGCCACGGUGAAUACGUUCCCGGGUCUUGUACACACCGCCCGUCAUACCAUGGGAGUGGGUUGCACCAGAAGUGGGUAGUCUAACUUAGGAGGACGCUCACCACGGUGUGAUUCAUGACUGGGGUAAAGUCGUAACAAGGUA